This 1356-nucleotide ribosomal RNA is filed under the name Microbacterium sp. RNAcentral's name for it is "bacterial SSU rRNA". It matches the Rfam family "Bacterial small subunit ribosomal RNA", at positions 75 to 1441 of the family's 1533-position model. The record is from RNAcentral. Lineage: Bacteria; Bacillati; Actinomycetota; Actinomycetes; Micrococcales; Microbacteriaceae.
GGAGCUUGCUCUGUGGGAUCAGUGGCGAACGGGUGAGUAACACGUGAGCAACCUGCCCCUGACUCUGGGAUAAGCGCUGGAAACGGCGUCUAAUACUGGAUAUGUGACGUGACCGCAUGGUCUGCGUUUGGAAAGAUUUUUCGGUUGGGGAUGGGCUCGCGGCCUAUCAGCUUGUUGGUGAGGUAAUGGCUCACCAAGGCGUCGACGGGUAGCCGGCCUGAGAGGGUGACCGGCCACACUGGGACUGAGACACGGCCCAGACUCCUACGGGAGGCAGCAGUGGGGAAUAUUGCACAAUGGGCGGAAGCCUGAUGCAGCAACGCCGCGUGAGGGAUGACGGCCUUCGGGUUGUAAACCUCUUUUAGCAGGGAAGAAGCGAAAGUGACGGUACCUGCAGAAAAAGCGCCGGCUAACUACGUGCCAGCAGCCGCGGUAAUACGUAGGGCGCAAGCGUUAUCCGGAAUUAUUGGGCGUAAAGAGCUCGUAGGCGGUUUGUCGCGUCUGCUGUGAAAUCCCGAGGCUCAACCUCGGGCCUGCAGUGGGUACGGGCAGACUAGAGUGCGGUAGGGGAGAUUGGAAUUCCUGGUGUAGCGGUGGAAUGCGCAGAUAUCAGGAGGAACACCGAUGGCGAAGGCAGAUCUCUGGGCCGUAACUGACGCUGAGGAGCGAAAGGGUGGGGAGCAAACAGGCUUAGAUACCCUGGUAGUCCACCCCGUAAACGUUGGGAACUAGUUGUGGGGUCCAUUCCACGGAUUCCGUGACGCAGCUAACGCAUUAAGUUCCCCGCCUGGGGAGUACGGCCGCAAGGCUAAAACUCAAAGGAAUUGACGGGGACCCGCACAAGCGGCGGAGCAUGCGGAUUAAUUCGAUGCAACGCGAAGAACCUUACCAAGGCUUGACAUAUACGAGAACGGGCCAGAAAUGGUCAACUCUUUGGACACUCGUAAACAGGUGGUGCAUGGUUGUCGUCAGCUCGUGUCGUGAGAUGUUGGGUUAAGUCCCGCAACGAGCGCAACCCUCGUUCUAUGUUGCCAGCACGUAAUGGUGGGAACUCAUGGGAUACUGCCGGGGUCAACUCGGAGGAAGGUGGGGAUGACGUCAAAUCAUCAUGCCCCUUAUGUCUUGGGCUUCACGCAUGCUACAAUGGCCGGUACAAAGGGCUGCAAUACCGUGAGGUGGAGCGAAUCCCAAAAAGCCGGUCCCAGUUCGGAUUGAGGUCUGCAACUCGACCUCAUGAAGUCGGAGUCGCUAGUAAUCGCAGAUCAGCAACGCUGCGGUGAAUACGUUCCCGGGUCUUGUACACACCGCCCGUCAAGUCAUGAAAGUCGGUAACACCUGAAGCCGGUGGCCUAACCC